GUGUGUCAGUGUGUGUAUGUUUGUCAGUGUGUCUGUGUGUCAGUAUGUCUGUCAUACUGACAUACACACAGACAUACUAACAAACACAAACACACAG
Pelobates cultripes (western spadefoot toad) is the source of this 97-nucleotide non-coding RNA. The record is from the annotation of a GenBank genome assembly. NCBI's taxonomy places the organism in Eukaryota, Metazoa, Chordata, Amphibia, Anura, Pelobatidae.